GAUGAACGCUGGCGGCGUGCCUAAUACAUGCAAGUAGAACGCUGAAGCUUGGUGCUUGCACCGAGCGGAUGAGUUGCGAACGGGUGAGUAACGCGUAGGUAACCUACCUCUUAGCGGGGGAUAACUAUUGGAAACGAUAGCUAAUACCGCAUAAAAGUCGACAUUGCAUGAUGUUGACUUGAAAGGUGCAACUGCAUCACUAAGAGAUGGACCUGCGUUGUAUUAGCUAGUUGGUGAGGUAACGGCUCACCAAGGCGACGAUACAUAGCCGACCUGAGAGGGUGAUCGGCCACACUGGGACUGAGACACGGCCCAGACUCCUACGGGAGGCAGCAGUAGGGAAUCUUCGGCAAUGGACGGAAGUCUGACCGAGCAACGCCGCGUGAGUGAAGAAGGUUUUCGGAUCGUAAAGCUGUGUUGUAAGAGAAGAACGAGUGUGAGAGUGGAAAGUUCACACUGUGACGGUAACU
This 470-nucleotide ribosomal RNA is filed under the name Streptococcus parasanguinis. Its description in RNAcentral is "bacterial SSU rRNA". It matches the Rfam family "Bacterial small subunit ribosomal RNA", at positions 28 to 480 of the family's 1533-position model. Lineage: Bacteria; Bacillati; Bacillota; Bacilli; Lactobacillales; Streptococcaceae. The record is from RNAcentral.